CCGUAGCUCAGUGGCAGAGCAAUCGACUGCAGAUCGAUAGGUCCCCGGUUCAACUCCGGGUGGG
RNAcentral lists this transfer RNA (64 nucleotides) under Tieghemiomyces parasiticus. Its description in RNAcentral is "tRNA-Cys". It matches the Rfam family "tRNA", at positions 5 to 66 of the family's 71-position model. From Rfam's summary of the family: Transfer RNA (tRNA) molecules are approximately 80 nucleotides in length. The record is from RNAcentral. Lineage: Eukaryota; Fungi; Kickxellomycota; Dimargaritomycetes; Dimargaritales; Dimargaritaceae.